RNAcentral lists this ribosomal RNA (448 nucleotides) under uncultured bacterium. RNAcentral describes it as "bacterial SSU rRNA". It matches the Rfam family "Bacterial small subunit ribosomal RNA", at positions 355 to 825 of the family's 1533-position model. The record is from RNAcentral.
CAGGGAAUCUUGCACAAUGGGCGAAAGCCUGAUGCAGCGACGCCGCGUGGGGGAUGAAGGCCCUAGGGUCGUAAACCCCUUUCAGCAGGGACGAAGAUGACGGUACCUGCAGAAGAAGCCCCGGCCAACUACGUGCCAGCAGCCGCGGUAAGACGUAGGGGGCGAGCGUUGUCCGGAUUUAUUGGGCGUAAAGAGCUCGUAGGCGGUUGCGUAAGUCGGAUGUGAAAACUCAGGGCUCAACCCUGAGACGCCAUCCGAUACUGCGCUGACUUGAAUCCAGUAGGGGAGUGCGGAAUUCCUGGUGUAGCGGUGAAAUGCGCAGAUAUCAGGAGGAACACCCAUGGCGAAGGCAGCACUCUGGGCUGGUAUUGACGCUGAGGAGCGAAAGCAUGGGUAGCGAACAGGAUUAGAUACCCCCGUAGUCCCUGAGCGGGCUGGCAAGGCGCAU